This 73-nucleotide transfer RNA is filed under the name Erinaceus europaeus (western European hedgehog). It matches the Rfam family "tRNA". From Rfam's summary of the family: Transfer RNA (tRNA) molecules are approximately 80 nucleotides in length. Their secondary structure includes four short double-helical elements and three loops (D, anti-codon, and T loops). Further hydrogen bonds mediate the characteristic L-shaped molecular structure. tRNAs have two regions of fundamental functional importance: the anti-codon, which is responsible for specific mRNA codon recognition, and the 3' end, to which the tRNAs corresponding amino acid is attached (by aminoacyl-tRNA synthetases). tRNAs cope with the degeneracy of the genetic code in two manners: having more than one tRNA (with a specific anti-codon) for a particular amino acid; and 'wobble' base-pairing, i.e. permitting non-standard base-pairing at the 3rd anti-codon position. The record is from Rfam by way of RNAcentral. Lineage: Eukaryota; Metazoa; Chordata; Mammalia; Eulipotyphla; Erinaceidae.
GCCCAGCUAGCUCAGUUGGUAGAGCAUGAGACUCUUAAUCUCCGGGUCAUGGAAUUGUGCCCCACGUUGGGUG